CCAGGCCAUGUCCCUCAGGAACAUUUGAGAAAGAAAGGCCAUUUUUUAAUGAGGGCAGCUUGCGGCCAGCUUUUGUGAGGAAGCUCUCCACCCUUGCUUUUCGAGUCUCCCUUUGAAUCAAAAAGCCAAAAGCACACUUUUCGGCAGCUACCUCCUGAACAUCCAGCAAAGCAAAACAUGUGUAAACUCAAUGGUCUGCUGACAUCACAUGCUUUACAUGGUGCAAAAAUGGCGAUGGUGCUUUCAGUGUCACAGAAGGAAUCAUCUGGAAAAGGAAACAUUAUUUGCGAGCCUGUCAUGCUUGGUUUCUAAUUCACCAGUCCACCACCCCAUCAAAGAGGUUUUUCAAUCAAUCUUUUUUUUAUCUAGCACUUUUCAUUGGGGCACACCAUCCCAACGCAUUUUCAAAAAGCAGUUCAGCUUACUGAGAUCUAUAUUCCCAUAGACAGAGUUAAUUGAGUUCAGAUGAGGGACUUGCUUCAAGCUGGAGUGAGUCAGACGUGGGAUUUAAAAGUCCAUCCAUCUUUCAUCUAGUUCAGUGUUGCAGGGAGCUGGAACCUAUUCUGACAACGCUAUGAUCAGGGCAGCAAUCAACCCCAGAUAAGAUGCCACUCCAUUCCAAGAGACAAACAGCUGCAGUUAUCCACUUAAGAGACAUAAACUAAUCUAACACUCUCAGCUUUAGAAUAUCGGAAGAAGCUGGAAGAAAACAUUGCGGAGAGACAACAGGAUUGAAAUGAACCUGGAUACUUGGAGAUAUGAGCCAGCACUUGAAAUUAAUGUCAUUUGCAACUGGAAACCUUUUUGAUUGUGUUAUCCAUCCAUCUAUUUUCUAAACUCACUUUGGGAUCUGAGCAAACUGAAAAUAAUUAACAAUCCACAGGACAUGAGCUUUGCACAGAUUUAUAACUGACAUCAUAACAAAAUGCUAGCAACAUUAAUAAAAAGCCCUGCAAACUACUAAGACCGUUGAUUAAAAAAGACCAUAGAGGUGAGAACAGGUUGCCGGGUAAAACACAGAUGCUUACUGAAGACACACUUCCAGUGCUUUUGUUGUCUGAAGAUAAUCAGGAAAGAUGCUACGUAUUUUGAGGAGGAAGUAAAAUCGACUGAUGGAAACAAUGGAAUUGCACUUAAUCAUGUCUUAUCAUUUUCUAACCUGCUUAAGUCUAACCAGAGUAGCAGGGGGUGCUGGAGACUAUCCCAACUAGCACAGGACGCAAAGUAGGAACAAACCCUGGACAGUGUGCCAGUCCAUCAUAGGGUGAACACACA
Polypterus senegalus (gray bichir) is the source of this 1275-nucleotide long non-coding RNA. RefSeq lists it as uncharacterized. The transcript is spliced from 3 exons. Lineage: Eukaryota; Metazoa; Chordata; Cladistia; Polypteriformes; Polypteridae. The record is from RefSeq and is a predicted model, not a curated record.